This 256-nucleotide ribosomal RNA is filed under the name Staphylococcus aureus. RNAcentral describes it as "partial 16S ribosomal RNA". It matches the Rfam family "Bacterial small subunit ribosomal RNA", at positions 669 to 922 of the family's 1533-position model. Lineage: Bacteria; Bacillati; Bacillota; Bacilli; Caryophanales; Staphylococcaceae. The record is from RNAcentral.
CCAUGUGUAGCGGUGAAAUGCGCAGAGAUAUGGAGGAACACCAGUGGCGAAGGCGACUUUCUGGUCUGUAACUGACGCUGAUGUGCGAAAGCGUGGGGGUCAAACAGGAUUAGAUACCCUGGUAGUCCACGCCGUAAACGAUGAGUGCUAAGUGUUAGGGGGGUUUCCGCCCCUUAGUGCUGCAGCUAACGCAUUAAGCACUCCGCCUGGGGAGUACGACCGCAAGGUUGAAACUCAAAGGAAUUGACGGGGACCC